Long non-coding RNA from Herpailurus yagouaroundi (jaguarundi), 1103 nucleotides. RefSeq lists it as uncharacterized. The record is from RefSeq and is a predicted model, not a curated record. The transcript has 2 exons. NCBI's taxonomy places the organism in Eukaryota, Metazoa, Chordata, Mammalia, Carnivora, Felidae.
GAACUUUUAGUCUGAAGGAAAUACACCAUUUAUUGAACCCUUUUUGUGUGCCGGGAGUACACGAAGCACUUACAAACACUAUUGCAUCUAUUCUCAAAACUCUAUGAGGUGGGUAUUUUUACCUACUGAAUGAGGAAGCAGAUGUUCAGAGACUGACUUGUAUGAGUCACAUGGCUAUAGAGGCUGUGGGUGGAAGUCCAACUCUGACUAACUCCAAAGAUCUCACCAUUAGCUUCUGGGUGAAGGAAUAUUGGAAAGCCUAAAAUCAAUGGAGGAAACUUUUUUCAAUAUAUUUCAAAAAAAUUAAAUAAAUGAGUCUGUAUGGUUAGGGUGUAGUGAAAGAGGUGCCCUCGUGUUGCUAGAGUAUAAACGGAUACAUCCUUUCUGCAAAGCAAUCUGGUAAAAUAUUAGAAGCCUUAAAGUAUUUUCAUCCCCUUUACCUGGAAUUCUAUUGUUUUAACUCUACCCUAAGGAGAGAAUCAGAAAUGUGAUUAAAGAUUUAUGUACAAUUGGUGGAAUAUUUGAUAAAAAAUUGUGUGUGUGUGUGUGUGUGUGUGUGUGUGUGUUGCAGAUUAAGUGGCAAAAUCGUGGAAUGUCUGGAAUUUGCCGCAUCAUAAACUAGGAGAGGAAAAAUCGAUUGAAGCUGGAUGAUGGGUACAUAUACCAUUUAUACUCAGAAAAAAAAUUUACGGAAGACAACAGCCCCCCAUCUAUGACAGGUCCCUUAUUAUUGUCGCUGUCAGAGGUGGGUCACUGGUCUGAUCAGCCAACGGAACCAAUGUGAGCCAGUAACAGUUUGGAGUCAUAUAUUAGGACAUCACUGGCAGAGAGGAAAUCGAACUGUUAGCUUGGUCAUUUAUACCCUAUACUUCUGCAGGGCACAACCAGUUGUGUUUUUGUGAGACACUUCCAUUAUCCAGUGAUGGAAGUAUGUGAAAACAUGUAUCCAUCCAUCAUCCAGCUUCAAUCCAUUUUUCCUCUCCUAGUCUAGUUUAUUUGGGGGCAAAUUCCAGACAUUGCGUGAUUUUAUCACUUAAUCUGGAACACACACACACACACACACACACACACAAUUUUUCAUCAAAUUAACAGCUCUGCCUUAA